CAGUCGUGGGGCAGCGCGGGUAGCAAUACCUGGCGGCGACCGGCAAACGGGUGCGGAACACGUACGGAACCUUCCUUUAAGCGGGGAAUAGCCCAGGGAAACUUGGAUUAAUACCCCAUAAGAAUGUAGAGUGGCAUCACUUAGCAUUUAAAGCUACGGCACUUAAAGAUGGGCGUGCGGCUGAUUAGGUAGUUGGCGGGGUAAUAGCCCACCAAGCCGACGAUCAGUAACUGGUGUGAGAGCACGACCAGUCACACGGGCACUGAGACACGGGCCCGACUCCUACGGGAGGCAGCAGCAAGGAAUAUUGGUCAAUGGACGCAAGUCUGAACCAGCCAUGCCGCGUGGAGGAUGAAGGCCCUCUGGGUUGUAAACUUCUUUUAUUUGGGAAGAAACCGGACUUUUCUAAGGCCGUUGACGGUACCAGAUGAAUAAGCACCGGCUAACUC
Molecule: ribosomal RNA, 449 nt
Filed under: uncultured bacterium
Lineage: Bacteria
Description: bacterial SSU rRNA
Rfam family: Bacterial small subunit ribosomal RNA
Source: RNAcentral